GAUGAACGCUGGCGGCGUGCCUAAUACAUGCAAGUCGAGCGAACAGACGAGGAGCUUGCUCCUCUGACGUUAGCGGCGGACGGGUGAGUAACACGUGGAUAACCUACCUAUAAGACUGGGAUAACUUCGGGAAACCGGAGCUAAUACCGGAUAAUAUAUUGAACCGCAUGGUUCAAUAGUGAAAGACGGUUUUGCUGUCACUUAUAGAUGGAUCCGCGCCGCAUUAGCUAGUUGGUAAGGUAACGGCUUACCAAGGCAACGAUGCGUAGCCGACCUGGGAGGGGUAUCGGCCACACAGGAACUGGGACACCGUCCAGGCUCCUACGGGAGGCAGCAGUAGGGAAUCUUCCGCAAUGGGCGAAAGCCUGACGGAGCAACGCCGCGUGAGGUAUGAAGGUCUUCGGAUCGUAAAACUCUGUUAUUAGGGAAGAACAAAUGUGUAAGUAACUAUGCACGUCUUGACGGUACCUAAUCAGAAAGCCACGGCUAACUACGUG
RNAcentral lists this ribosomal RNA (497 nucleotides) under uncultured bacterium. Its description in RNAcentral is "partial 16S ribosomal RNA". It matches the Rfam family "Bacterial small subunit ribosomal RNA", at positions 28 to 507 of the family's 1533-position model. The record is from RNAcentral.